UGAGGAAUAUUGCACAAUGGGCGAAAGCCUGAUGCAGCAACGCCGCGUGAGGGACGAAGGCCUUCGGGUCGUAAACCACUUUUCGGGGACGAGUAAGGACGGUACUCCAGGAAUAAGUCUCGGCUAACUACGUGCCAGCAGCCGCGGUAAAACGUAGGAGGCGAGCGUUAUCCGGAUUUACUGGGCGUAAAGCGUACGCAGGUGGCUUCGUUAGUCGGACAUGAAAGCUCCUGGCUUAACUGGGAGAGGUUGUUCGAUACUGCGGGGCUUGAGGUUGGGAGAGGGACGUGGAAUUCCCGGUGUAGUGGUGGAAUGCGUAGAUAUCGGGAGGAACACCAGUGGCGCAAGCGGCGUCCUGGCCCACACCUGACGCUGAGGUACGAAAGCGUGGGUAGCAAACAG
This 402-nucleotide ribosomal RNA is filed under the name uncultured bacterium. RNAcentral describes it as "bacterial SSU rRNA". It matches the Rfam family "Bacterial small subunit ribosomal RNA", at positions 355 to 775 of the family's 1533-position model. The record is from RNAcentral.